This 458-nucleotide long non-coding RNA is filed under the name Capra hircus (goat). Its description in RNAcentral is "lncRNA (ENSCHIG00000001946.1)". Lineage: Eukaryota; Metazoa; Chordata; Mammalia; Artiodactyla; Bovidae. The record is from RNAcentral.
AUGCCCAUUAUUACCUUAGAGAGAGUGAUUGGUAUGGAACCCAGUGGAUUUGUGGUACUAAUUUAUAGCCUUCACACCUACAGUGAUGGAUACAAAGGUGUAGCCUGGGAUUCCCAUGAAUUUAAGGUCAUACAUGUUGCACCCAGCGCCUCCCUCAACAAGACGGCCCACCCCUUCGGGGCGAACCUGCCUGCAGACAGCGCCCCGCAGCAGAAUGGACAGCUGCUGCAACCGCUGAUCCCAGAUGCCAGUAAGCAGUGGCUGAUGGAGGACAUGGAGGACUGGUGGGCGAGGCCUGGGACAGGCCAGUCCCGUUCCUUCUGCAUCCUCGCCCACCUCACGGGCUCCGAGUUCAUGCAAGACCCGGAUGAGGAGCACCUGAAGAAAUCAAGGCCCUACCACCCCCAGUCCCACGAGCCGCCCACCCUGGGCUGUGGACCCCGCAUUUGCUGAGCGCU